Molecule: ribosomal RNA, 492 nt
Filed under: uncultured bacterium
Lineage: Bacteria
Description: partial 16S ribosomal RNA
Rfam family: Bacterial small subunit ribosomal RNA
Source: RNAcentral
AGUGAACGCUGGCGGUAGGCCUAACACAUGCAAGUCGAACGGCAGCACAGCAAGAGCUUGCUCUUACGGGUGGCGAGUGGCGGACGGGUGAGGAAUACAUCGGAAUCUACUUUUUCGUGGGGGAUAACGUAGGGAAACUUACGCUAAUACCGCAUACGACCUACGGGUGAAAGCAGGGGAUCUUCGGAACUUGCGCGAUUGAAUGAGCCGAUGUCGGAUUAGCUAGUUGGCGGGGUAAAGGCCCACCAAGGCGACGAUCCGUAGCUGGUCUGAGAGGAUGAUCAGCCACACUGGAACUGAGACACGGUCCAGACUCCUACGGGAGGCAGCAGUGGGGAAUAUUGGACAAUGGGCGCAAGCCUGAUCCAGCCAUACCGCGUGGGUGAAGAAGGCCUUCGGGUUGUAAAGCCCUUUUGUUGGGAAAGAAAAGCAGCAGGUUAAUACCCCGCUGUUCUGACGGUACCCAAAGAAUAAGCACCGGCUAACUUCGUG